Molecule: ribosomal RNA, 186 nt
Filed under: Triticum aestivum (bread wheat)
Lineage: Eukaryota; Viridiplantae; Streptophyta; Magnoliopsida; Poales; Poaceae
Description: partial small subunit ribosomal RNA
Source: RNAcentral
AUGAAAGUUGAUACUACAGAACAUGUGACCGUCCUACAUAAUGCCAUUGGUAAAACCAGAUUGUUCUAUAUAGGAAUGAAGGUUGAUUUAGUAUCCAGAUUCCCCAUAAGUAAUGUCAUAAGGAAAAACUUCCUAGUUGACAUUGCACAAAUGAUGCCUCCACAAUGGUUUGACAAUUUUCAUUAA